RNAcentral lists this ribosomal RNA (497 nucleotides) under uncultured bacterium. RNAcentral describes it as "partial 16S ribosomal RNA". It matches the Rfam family "Bacterial small subunit ribosomal RNA", at positions 28 to 507 of the family's 1533-position model. The record is from RNAcentral.
GAUGAACGCUGGCGGCGUGCCUAACACAUGCAAGUCGAGCGAACAGACGAGGAGCUUGCUCCUCUGACGUUAGCGGCGGACGGGUGAGUAACACGUGGAUAACAACCUUAUAAGUCUGGGAUAACUUCGGGAAACCGGAGCUAAUACUGCAGAAUAUAUUGAACCGCUUGGAUCAUUAGUGAAAGACGGUUUUGCUGUCACUUAUAGAUGGACCCGCGCCGCAUUAGCUAGUUGGUAAGGUAACGGCUUACCAAGGCAACGAUGCGUAGCCGACCUGAGAGGGUGAUCGACCACACUGGAACUGAGGCACGGUCCAGACUCCUACGGGAGGCAGCAGUAGGGAAUCUUCCGCAAUGGGCGAAAGCCGGACGGAGCAGCGCCGCGUGAGGGAUGAAGGUCUUCGGAGCGUAGAAAUCUGUUAUUGGGGGAGAACAAAGGUGGAAGUAACUAUGCACGUCUUGACGGUAGCUGAUCAGAAAGCGACGGCUAACUACGUG